This 87-nucleotide transfer RNA is filed under the name Erysipelotrichaceae bacterium. RNAcentral's name for it is "tRNA-Leu". It matches the Rfam family "tRNA". Rfam says of the family: Transfer RNA (tRNA) molecules are approximately 80 nucleotides in length. Their secondary structure includes four short double-helical elements and three loops (D, anti-codon, and T loops). Further hydrogen bonds mediate the characteristic L-shaped molecular structure. tRNAs have two regions of fundamental functional importance: the anti-codon, which is responsible for specific mRNA codon recognition, and the 3' end, to which the tRNAs corresponding amino acid is attached (by aminoacyl-tRNA synthetases). tRNAs cope with the degeneracy of the genetic code in two manners: having more than one tRNA (with a specific anti-codon) for a particular amino acid; and 'wobble' base-pairing, i.e. permitting non-standard base-pairing at the 3rd anti-codon position. RNAcentral also lists the same sequence under 1 other name. The record is from RNAcentral. Lineage: Bacteria; Bacillati; Bacillota; Erysipelotrichia; Erysipelotrichales; Erysipelotrichaceae.
GCAGAAGUGGUGGAAUAGGUAGACACGAGGGACUUAAAAUCCCUUGGUAGCAAUACCGUGAGGGUUCAAGUCCCUCUUUCUGCACCA